UACAGAGGGUGCGAGCGUUAAUCGGAGUUACUGGGCGUAAAGGGCGCGUAGGCGGUUGUUUAAGUGAGAUGUGAAAUCCCUGGGCUUAACCUAGGAACUGCAUCUCAUACUGGGCAGCUAGAGUAUUGUAGAGGGUAGUGGAAUUUCCGGUGUAGCGGUGAAAUGCGUAGAGAUCGGAAGGAACACCAGUGGCGAAGGCGGCUCACUGGCCCGGUACUGACGCCGAGGUGCGAAAGCGUGGGGAUCAAACAGG
This 253-nucleotide ribosomal RNA is filed under the name uncultured bacterium. RNAcentral's name for it is "partial 16S ribosomal RNA". It matches the Rfam family "Bacterial small subunit ribosomal RNA", at positions 524 to 776 of the family's 1533-position model. The record is from RNAcentral.